AACGAACGCUGGCGGCAUGCCUAACACAUGCAAGUCGAACGAGACCUUCGGGUCUAGUGGCGCACGGGUGCGUAACGCGUGGGAACCUGCCCUUAGGUUCGGAAUAACUCCCCGAAAGGGGUGCUAAUACCGGAUAAUGUCUUCGGACCAAAGAUUUAUCGCGUUUGGAUGGGCCCGCGUUGGAUUAGCUAGUUGGUAGGGUAAAAGCCUACCAAGGCGACGAUCCAUAGCUGGUCUGAGAGGAGGAUCAGCCACACUGGGACUGAGACACGGCCCAGACUCCUACGGGAGGCAGCAGUGGGGAAUAUUGGACAAGGGGCGAAAGCCUGAUCCAGCAAUGCCGCGUGAGUGAUGAAGGCCUUAGGGUUGUAAAGCUCUUUUACCCGGGAUGAUAAUGACAGUACCGGGAGAAUAAGCGCCGGCUAACUCCGUG
RNAcentral lists this ribosomal RNA (433 nucleotides) under uncultured bacterium. RNAcentral's name for it is "partial 16S ribosomal RNA". It matches the Rfam family "Bacterial small subunit ribosomal RNA", at positions 29 to 507 of the family's 1533-position model. The record is from RNAcentral.